This 466-nucleotide ribosomal RNA is filed under the name Vreelandella stevensii. RNAcentral's name for it is "partial 16S ribosomal RNA". It matches the Rfam family "Bacterial small subunit ribosomal RNA", at positions 337 to 795 of the family's 1533-position model. The record is from RNAcentral. Lineage: Bacteria; Pseudomonadati; Pseudomonadota; Gammaproteobacteria; Oceanospirillales; Halomonadaceae.
CAUACGGGUGGGCUGCAGUGGGGAAUAUUGGACAAUGGGCGAAAGCCUGAUCCAGCCAUGCCGCGUGUGUGAAGAAGGCCUUCGGGUUGUAAAGCACUUUCAGUGGGGAAGAAAGCCUUGGGGCUAAUACCCUCGAGGAAGGACAUCACCCACAGAAGAAGCACCGGCUAACUCCGUGCCAGCAGCCGCGGUAAUACGGAGGGUGCGAGCGUUAAUCGGAAUUACUGGGCGUAAAGCGCGCGUAGGCGGUCUGAUAAGCCGGUUGUGAAAGCCCCGGGCUCAACCUGGGAACGGCAUCCGGAACUGUCAGGCUAGAGUGCAGGAGAGGAAGGUAGAAUUCCCGGUGUAGCGGUGAAAUGCGUAGAGAUCGGGAGGAAUACCAGUGGCGAAGGCGGCCUUCUGGACUGACACUGACGCUGAGGUGCGAAAGCGUGGGUAGCAAACAGGAUUAGAUACCCGAGUAGUC